RNAcentral lists this ribosomal RNA (483 nucleotides) under uncultured bacterium. RNAcentral's name for it is "partial 16S ribosomal RNA". It matches the Rfam family "Bacterial small subunit ribosomal RNA", at positions 28 to 523 of the family's 1533-position model. The record is from RNAcentral.
GAUGAACGCUGGCGGCGUGCUUAACACAUGCAAGUCGAACGGUGAAGCAGAGCUUGCUCUGUGGAUCAGUGGCGAACGGGUGAGUAACACGUGAGCAAUCUGCCCCUGACUCUGGGAUAAGCGCUGGAAACGGCGUCUAAUACCGGAUAUGAGCUGCGGCCGCAUGGUCGGCAGUUGGAAAGAUUUUUCGGUCAGGGAUGAGCUCGCGGCCUAUCAGCUUGUUGGUGAGGUAAUGGCUCACCAAGGCGUCGACGGGUAGCCGGCCUGAGAGGGUGACCGGCCACACUGGGACUGAGACACGGCCCAGACUCCUACGGGAGGCAGCAGUGGGGAAUAUUGCACAAUGGGCGGAAGCCUGAUGCAGCAACGCCGCGUGAGGGAUGACGGCCUUCGGGUUGUAAACCUCUUUUAGCAGGGAAGAAGCGAAAGUGACGGUACCUGCAGAAAAAGCGCCGGCUAACUACGUGCCAGCAGCCGCCGUAA